Molecule: transfer RNA, 85 nt
Filed under: Felis catus (domestic cat)
Lineage: Eukaryota; Metazoa; Chordata; Mammalia; Carnivora; Felidae
Rfam family: tRNA
About the family: Transfer RNA (tRNA) molecules are approximately 80 nucleotides in length. Their secondary structure includes four short double-helical elements and three loops (D, anti-codon, and T loops).
Source: Rfam by way of RNAcentral
GCCUGGGGGGCUCAGUGGGUUAAGCGUCUGACUUCAGCUCAGGUCAUGAUCUCCCCGUUCGUGGGCUCGAGCCCCACCCCGCGUC